RNAcentral lists this ribosomal RNA (644 nucleotides) under uncultured bacterium. Its description in RNAcentral is "bacterial SSU rRNA". It matches the Rfam family "Bacterial small subunit ribosomal RNA", at positions 8 to 694 of the family's 1533-position model. The record is from RNAcentral.
AGAGUUUGAUCCUGGCUCAGGACGAACGCUGGCGGUGUGCUUCACACAUGCAAGUCGAACGUGGUAGCAAUACCUAGUGGCGGACGGGUGAGUAACGCGUGGGAAUCUGCCUUUAGAUGGGGGAUAACGGGCCGAAAGGUUCGUUAAUACCGCAUAUGCCGCAAGGUGAAAGGAGUAAUCCGUCUAAAGAUGAGCCCGCGUCCGAUUAGCUAGUUGGUGGGGUAAAGGCCUACCAAGGCGACGAUCGGUAGCUGGUCUGAGAGGAUGAUCAGCCACAAUGGGACUGAGACACGGCCCAUACUCCUACGGGAGGCAGCAGUGGGGAAUUUUACGCAAUGGGGGAAACCCUGACGUAGCGACACCGCGUGAGCGAAGAAGCCCCUUGGGGUGUAAAGCUCUGUCAGCUGGAACGAAACAAAUGACGGUACCAGCAGAGGAAGCAUCGGCUAACUACGUGCCAGCAGCCGCGGUAAGACGUAGGAUGCGAGCGUUGUCCGGAUUUAUUGGGCGUAAAGAGUUCGUAGGUGGUUUGUUAAGUUUGAUGUUAAAGAUCGGGGCUCAACCUCGGGACAGCAUUGAAUACUGGCAGACUUGAGUAUGGUAGAGGCUAGUGGAAUUCCCAGUGUAGCGGUGAAAUGCGUAGA